RNAcentral lists this ribosomal RNA (648 nucleotides) under uncultured bacterium. RNAcentral describes it as "bacterial SSU rRNA". It matches the Rfam family "Bacterial small subunit ribosomal RNA", at positions 110 to 753 of the family's 1533-position model. The record is from RNAcentral.
GUAAUGCUUAGGAAUCUGCCUAUUAGUGGGGGACAACAUCUCGAAAGGGAUGCUAAUACCGCAUACGUCCUACGGGAGAAAGCAGGGGACCUUCAGGCCUUGCGCUAAUAGAUGAGCCUAAGUCGGAUUAGCUAGUUGGUGGGGUAAAGGCCUACCAAGGCGACGAUCUGUAGCGGGUCUGAGAGGAUGAUCCGCCACACUGGGACUGAGACACGGCCCAGACUCCUACGGGAGGCAGCAGUGGGGAAUAUUGGACAAUGGGGGGAACCCUGAUCCAGCCAUGCCGCGUGUGUGAAGAAGGCCUUUUGGUUGUAAAGCACUUUAAGCGAGGAGGAGGCUACCGAGAUUAAUACUCUUGGAUAGUGGACGUUACUCGCAGAAUAAGCACCGGCUAACUCUGUGCCAGCAGCCGCGGUAAUACAGAGGGUGCAAGCGUUAAUCGGAUUUACUGGGCGUAAAGCGCGCGUAGGUGGCCAAUUAAGUCAAAUGUGAAAUCCCCGAGCUUAACUUGGGAAUUGCAUUCGAUACUGGUUGGCUAGAGUAUGGGAGAGGAUGGUAGAAUUCCAGGUGUAGCGGUGAAAUGCGUAGAGAUCUGGAGGAAUACCGAUGGCGAAGGCAGCCAUCUGGCCUAAUACUGACACUGAGGUG